UACGUAGGGCGCAAGCGUUGUCCGGAAUUAUUGGGCGUAAAGAGCUCGUAGGUGGUUUGUCGCGUCUGUCGUGAAAGCCCGGGGCUUAACUCCGGGUCUGCGGUGGAUACGGGCAGACUAGAGGCAGGUAGGGGAGAACGGAAUUCCCGGUGUAGCGGUGAAAUGCGCAGAUAUCGGGAGGAACACCAAUAGCGAAGGCAGCUCGCUGGGACGGUACUGACGCUAAGGCGCGAAAGCGUGGGGAGCGAACAGG
This 253-nucleotide ribosomal RNA is filed under the name uncultured bacterium. RNAcentral's name for it is "partial 16S ribosomal RNA". It matches the Rfam family "Bacterial small subunit ribosomal RNA", at positions 524 to 776 of the family's 1533-position model. The record is from RNAcentral.